This 209-nucleotide long non-coding RNA is filed under the name Elaeis guineensis (African oil palm). RNAcentral describes it as "long non-coding RNA (EGUI_LNC009259)". Lineage: Eukaryota; Viridiplantae; Streptophyta; Magnoliopsida; Arecales; Arecaceae. The record is from RNAcentral.
UGCACAUUUGGAUGGUCCAUUCACAAGGUUCACAACAUUUUGGCCUGCGGGAUGCGCGAUCAAGUGGUUGGGAAGGCUGGUGGGAGCGAUCGGAUGGCUUGGAGGAUAUUUGAGUUCUAAUCGGAGUCAAGACUCCGAUCUAGGCUGAGUGUGAGGCCUUUAAGAGGUCCUGUGUGCAGCAAAUAGAGAACGUGGUAGCAACAGUUCGG